GGUAGCUAUGGUUAUGGUUACGGCAGGCUUCAGUUUGGAGCUCUGCUUCCGGAUACUUUGGUGUCGCAGAGCAACAGCCGUGGUUGUUGUAACAGUGUGAGGUUUUUGAAUGUGUAUAGUAGCGAGCUUUUGAUAAAGUUUCAGUCAGUUGACAGAGUUUGAGUUUUCUUUCCAUGUCUUUGAAACUACAUUAAAUGGCCUCUUAUACACACGAAGAGUUUGAACUCAGCCAGAAACAUGAAGAUAUACUGGGGAAAAGAGCAUUACUGCUGCAGCAGAUGGAAGCGCAUUAUGAACAGCAGAAGGCUAAGAAAAAACAGCAGCGUCUGAUGUCUCAAGCAGCGAAGGAGAGGAAUGCUCAGAUCCUUAAGGAUUUACAGAAUGCUGAAAAAAAUCUUCAAACCAGACAGCUGCUUCACCCAGAUAUUAUUAACCUUGAGACUCAUUAUUGGGCCUCAGUUGAACGGAAACUACCAGAAUGGGAGCAGUAUUUGCUUGGGAAAGGGCAACCGCCGGUGAGUGAGACUGGGAGAUUGCUUAGACAACAGAAACUGAAAACUAGACAACAAGAUCCCUCCCCUGCACAAUGCAAGGGUAAACCACCUCGACCCAAACCUAGAUGAGCUGUCUGGUGUGUAACUUAUUUAUAUUUUUUGCCCCAAAUUGUUAUUUUAUUUAUUUAUUUUUAUGUGUUAUAUAUUUGAUUUAAAUAUUAUAUAUGCAAAUACAGAAUAAAUGUGUUCAUUCAAUAGUGCAUUAACAUUCGCUUACACAAGUGCAUCCACAUGGGGGCAAUACUGACUACAUUUUCUGUAACUACACCACUGUGUAUCGAAAAAUGAAUGAAUCACUUGUAAAAAAUCAGCUGUGAUUUACAAUGAAGUAAUAAAACUAUUAUUUGUGCAGUUAGCUAUCAAAUUAAAUGGUAUUAUUGAAGUUACUUUAAAAUUAGUUCAGAUUAGUUGUUUUCCUUUACAAGUAAAAAAAGGAUUAUCCAUAUAGUGUCAAAUAAUAAACAUGUUUUCAAGAAAAAUUAAUUUACCAUUCUAUUUCCUAACCCACUAUUUCUCUCCAAAUGUACGUAACAGAAACUGUAUCUGAGUUGCAUUAUGCAAUGCUAAGCAUUACUAGUAUCUUCAAGAACAUUUUCUGAUGUCCAGCUUAAAUAAAAAAAUCUUGUCUCAAGACGCACAAAUGCAAAUUUGUGUGCAAAAAUGUUGCUUUUAAAUGCACCCCUAAACCUCAUUGCCUCCUACCUGAACCCUCAACAACAAUGAGGUCAUGACUGCCAUCACACAAAGCCUCUCAGAGCACUUGGACUGUCCAUGUAAUUGCUCUUGUAUUGCCUGUCUGUUGAAGGGUCAGCCACUUGAGUUGAGAGUUAAGUUGUCUAUAAUUCUGAAAAUUACGCAUUUGAUUUGUUCUUUGAUUAGGUUUGUUGUUUAACUAGCGUUUUCUCAUAUUCAGACUGGUGGUUUUGGGAAUCCAGGCAUGAAACAAGCUCUAAAGUAGCUUGUAUCUAAGGAGAGAUUGCAGACCGUGUCCUAGCCUAAUUGGAUGAUCAAACCAGUUCAGGGUGACACGGAGUGGCGGCUUGACAAACGCGAUCAUCUGGAUGGUCACGGUUGAAGUGGUGGUGGUUGGCAGCUGCCCUUCCUCCUCAGCUGGGACUCCUGCCCCUGAGGUCAGGGCACCAGUCAAGGCUUCCAAAUUGGCAGGGGGGUUGGUUGGCUGUGGAGGGGUGGAGAAUUCUGGGUGUGGGUGGAGGGCACGACAGCAAAUUAUCUAAAAGGGUUUUGAAGAGCACGAUCUGGAGCCCUUCCAAAUGACUAGUUCUGCAUUAUGUAUUCUAAUAGGGAAAGCCCUGAGGUGGUUUGGCUACGGAUACCACUGCCAACUGAGGCUGUCAGAGCCCAGGCACAGGCCAAGGCCAAAUGUUGUAGAUCAGCUCUGGGCUUCAGACACCUGGCCAUCAGCCAGAUCUUCAGAACACUAUCGUAAGAAGAUAGAACAAAUUUGUUUGUUACUGAAUAACUUGUGUCUGUAAAAAUGGCAUAGUUGCUGUUACAAGAAAGCCUGAUUAUGUUGAGGAUUAUGGCACUUUGAUUAAAUAAUAGUAAAAUUACUAAAUAAAAAUACAUAAUGACAUUUUUGAGUAUUUUCAU
RNA transcript from Sinocyclocheilus rhinocerous, 2165 nucleotides. RefSeq lists it as uncharacterized. The transcript is spliced from 5 exons. The record is from RefSeq and is a predicted model, not a curated record. NCBI's taxonomy places the organism in Eukaryota, Metazoa, Chordata, Actinopteri, Cypriniformes, Cyprinidae.